This 459-nucleotide ribosomal RNA is filed under the name uncultured bacterium. RNAcentral describes it as "partial 16S ribosomal RNA". It matches the Rfam family "Bacterial small subunit ribosomal RNA", at positions 338 to 795 of the family's 1533-position model. The record is from RNAcentral.
CCUACGGGUGGCAGCAGUGAGGAAUAUUGGUCAAUGGCCGAAAGGCUGAACCAGCCAAGUCGCGUGAGGGAAGACGGCCCUACGGGUUGUAAACCUCUUUUGUCGGGGUGCAAAGAGAGUCACGUGUGACUCAUUGAGAGUACAUGAAGAAAAAGCAUCGGCUAACUCCGUGCCAGCAGCCGCGGUAAUACGGAGGCUGCGAGCGUUAUCCGGAUUUAUUGGGUUUAAAGGGUGCGCAGGCGGAGGUGCAAGUCAGCGGUCAAAUUGCGGGGCUCAACCCCGUAAUGCCGUUGAAACUGCAUGCCUUGAGUGCGCGAGAAGUAUGCGGAAUGCGUGGUGUAGCGGUGAAAUGCAUAGAUAUCACGCAGAACUCCGAUUGCGAAGGCAGCAUACCGGCGCGCAACUGACGCUCAUGCACGAAAGCGUGGGUAUCGAACAGGAUUAGAUACCCUUGUAGUC